AUUGAACGCUGGCGGCAUGCCUUACACAUGCAAGUCGAACGGCAGCACGGGAGCUUGCUCCUGGUGGCGAGUGGCGAACGGGUGAGUAAUACAUCGGAACGUACCCUGAAGUGGGGGAUAACGUAGCGAAAGUUACGCUAAUACCGCAUAUUCUGUGAGCAGGAAAGAGGGGGAUCGCAAGACCUCUUGCUUUAGGAGCGGCCGAUGUCGGAUUAGCUAGUUGGUGAGGUAAAGGCUCACCAAGGCGACGAUCCGUAGCGGGUCUGAGAGGAUGAUCCGCCACACUGGGACUGAGACACGGCCCAGACUCCUACGGGAGGCAGCAGUGGGGAAUUUUGGACAAUGGGCGCAAGCCUGAUCCAGCCAUGCCGCGUGAGUGAAGAAGGCCUUCGGGUUGUUAAAGGACUCUUU
RNAcentral lists this ribosomal RNA (411 nucleotides) under uncultured bacterium. RNAcentral describes it as "bacterial SSU rRNA". It matches the Rfam family "Bacterial small subunit ribosomal RNA", at positions 30 to 436 of the family's 1533-position model. The record is from RNAcentral.